Molecule: ribosomal RNA, 433 nt
Filed under: uncultured bacterium
Lineage: Bacteria
Description: partial 16S ribosomal RNA
Rfam family: Bacterial small subunit ribosomal RNA
Source: RNAcentral
AACGAACGCUGGCGGCAUGCCUAACACAUGCAAGUCGAACGAGACCUUCGGGUCUAAUGGCGCACGGGUGCGUAACGCGUGGGAACCUGCCCUUAGGUUCGGAAUAACUCCCCGAAAGGGGUGCUAAUGCCGGAUAAUGUCUUCGGACCAAAGAUUUAUCGCCUUUGGAUGGGCCCGCGUUGGAUUAGCUAGUUGGUAGGGUAAAAGCCUACCAAGGCGACGAUCCAUAGCUGGUCUGAGAGGAUGAUCAGCCACACUGGGACUGAGACACGGCCCAGACUCCUACGGGAGGCAGCAGUGGGGAAUAUUGGACAAUGGGCGAAAGCCUGAUCCAGCAAUGCCGCGUGAGUGAUGAAGGCCUUAGGGUUGUAAAGCUCUUUUACCCGGGAUGAUAAUGACAGUACCGGGAGAAUAAGCUCCGGCUAACUCCGUG